Molecule: long non-coding RNA, 199 nt
Filed under: Nicotiana benthamiana
Lineage: Eukaryota; Viridiplantae; Streptophyta; Magnoliopsida; Solanales; Solanaceae
Description: long non-coding RNA (NBEN_LNC016682)
Source: RNAcentral
UGAAAUCAUCAUUCUUGAUAGAUAUGAACAUCUUCAUAUAAUGUCGUGGAAUGACUCUUCAAUAUCUUCAUAGAUGUAUUCUCAAUGCCAUCUUAUAGUUAUAGCAAGAUACAUAUGUACACAAAUUGUACUUGGGAUGUGGUACUGCAGGACCAAGAAUUGUGUAUGCUUCAAGUAACUUAAAUCUUUCAAGUUAAGU